ACAAAGGUAGCAUAAUCRUUAGUUUUUUAAUUGAGAACUUGUWUGAAUGGUUGAAUGAGAAAUAGACUUUUUUAAUAGAAAAAUUGAAUUUUACAUUUUAAUUAAAAGGUUAAAAUAUUUUUAAAAGACGAGAAGACCCUAUAGAGUUUUAUAAUUUAUAUUUAGUGUUAAAAAAAAUUWAUAGAUAUUUUUAUUUAAUAAAUUAUUUUGUUGGGGUGAUGAUAAAAUUUAAUUAACUUUUAUUUUUUUUUACAUUAAUAUAUGGUUAAUUGAUCCACUAUUGGUGAUUAAAAAAUUAAAUUACCUUAGGGAUAACAGCGUAAUUUUUUUUUUAAGUUCAUAUUAAUAAAAAAUUUUGCGACCUC
RNAcentral lists this ribosomal RNA (365 nucleotides) under Pseudolycoriella raki. RNAcentral describes it as "partial 16S ribosomal RNA". The record is from RNAcentral. Lineage: Eukaryota; Metazoa; Arthropoda; Insecta; Diptera; Sciaridae.